This 472-nucleotide ribosomal RNA is filed under the name uncultured bacterium. RNAcentral's name for it is "bacterial SSU rRNA". It matches the Rfam family "Bacterial small subunit ribosomal RNA", at positions 335 to 800 of the family's 1533-position model. The record is from RNAcentral.
ACUCCUACGGGAGGCAGCAGUGGGGAAUAUUGCACAAUGGGCGCAAGCCUGAUGCAGCCAUGCCGCGUGUAUGAAGAAGGCCUUCGGGUUGUAAAGUACUUUCAGCAGUGAGGAAGGUGGAUAUGUUAAUAGCAUAUUCAUUUGACGUUAGCUGCAGAAGAAGCACCGGCUAACUCCGUGCCAGCAGCCGCGGUAAUACGGAGGGUGCGAGCGUUAAUCGGAAUUACUGGGCGUAAAGCGCAUGCAGGUGGUUUGUUAAGUCAGAUGUGAAAGCCCGGGGCUCAACCUCGGAAUUGCAUUUGAAACUGGCAAACUAGAGUACUGUAGAGGGGGUAGAAUUUCAGGUGUAGCGGUGAAAUGCGUAGAGAUCUGAAGGAAUACCGGUGGCGAAGGCGGCCCCCUGGACAGAUACUGACACUCAGAUGCGAAGCGUGGGGAGCAAACAGGAUUAGAUACCCGUGGUAGGUCAGUC